GCCUCUUUUUGUCAUCUGAUCUGGAAAGAAAAGAGAUGGUACCUGUUUUGAGGUACGCAGAGAUGGGAUUCCUCCUCUGAUGGGGUCAUGACAGCUGCGCCAAACAAGACAUUACCACACCAGAUUUAGCAGGAAAAUGAUUGUUGUGGGCAAUCCAAUACAGGAUCAAUGAUAAGAAUGCGGAUGUAACAUGCUGGCUGAACCAGUCUACUGCGAGGAAAUUGUUCUGAGCCAAGGCCAAUUCAAUAUGGGCUAAUUAUCAUUACACUUGAAUACUUGCAUUCAUAUCUUUAUAUCAGU
Long non-coding RNA from Carica papaya (papaya), 300 nucleotides. RefSeq lists it as uncharacterized. Lineage: Eukaryota; Viridiplantae; Streptophyta; Magnoliopsida; Brassicales; Caricaceae. The record is from RefSeq and is a predicted model, not a curated record.